CGACCGGGGCGACAGCAAUAUGAAGGUCAGGCUGAAGACCUUACCCGAUUAGCUGAGAGGUGGUGCAUGGCCGUCGUCAGUUCGUAUUGUGAAGCAUCCUGUUAAGUCAGGCAACGAGCGAGACCCACGUCCACAGUUGCCAGCAUACCCUCCGGGGUGAUGGGUACACUGUGGAGACCGCCGCUGCUAAAGCGGAGGAAGGAGUGGGCAACGGUAGGUCAGUAUGCCCCGAAUCUCCCGGGCUACACGCGGGCUACAAUGGUUGGUACAAUGGGCAUCUACCCCGAAAGGGGAAGGAAAUCUCUUAAAGCCAAUCGUAGUUCGGAUUGAGGGCUGCAACUCGCCCUCAUGAAGCUGGAAUCCGUAGUAAUCGCGUUUCAACAGAACGCGGUGAAUACGUCCCUGCUCCUU
Molecule: ribosomal RNA, 411 nt
Filed under: uncultured Methanosaeta sp.
Lineage: Archaea; Methanobacteriati; Methanobacteriota; Methanomicrobia; Methanotrichales; Methanotrichaceae
Description: bacterial SSU rRNA
Rfam family: Archaeal small subunit ribosomal RNA
Source: RNAcentral